Molecule: ribosomal RNA, 471 nt
Filed under: uncultured bacterium
Lineage: Bacteria
Description: bacterial SSU rRNA
Rfam family: Bacterial small subunit ribosomal RNA
Source: RNAcentral
ACUCCUACGGGAGGCAGCAGUGGGGAAUAUUGCACAAUGGGCGCAAGCCUGAUGCAGCCAUGCCGCGUGUAUGAAGAAGGCCUUCGGGUUGUAAAGUACUUUCAGCAGUGAGGAAGGUGGGUAUGUUAAUAGCAUACUCAUUUGACGUUAGCUGCAGAAGAAGCACCGGCUAACUCCGUGCCAGCAGCCGCGGUAAUACGGAGGGUGCGAGCGUUAAUCGGAAUUACUGGGCGUAAAGCGCAUGCAGGUGGUUUGUUAAGUCAGAUGUGAAAGCCCGGGGCUCAACCUCGGAAUUGCAUUUGAAACUGGCAAACUAGAGUACUGUAGAGGGGGGUAGAAUUUCAGGUGUAGCGGUGAAAUGCGUAGAGAUCUAGAAGGAUACCGGUGGCGAAGGCGGCCCCCUGGACAGAUACUGACACUCAGAUGCGAAAGCGUGGGAGCAAACAGGAUUAGAUACCCUGGUAGGCGUUG